This 93-nucleotide ribosomal RNA is filed under the name Chrysis fulgida. Its description in RNAcentral is "partial 5.8S ribosomal RNA". It matches the Rfam family "5.8S ribosomal RNA", at positions 3 to 97 of the family's 154-position model. From Rfam's summary of the family: 5.8S ribosomal RNA (5.8S rRNA) is a component of the large subunit of the eukaryotic ribosome. It is transcribed by RNA polymerase I as part of the 45S precursor that also contains 18S and 28S rRNA. Lineage: Eukaryota; Metazoa; Arthropoda; Insecta; Hymenoptera; Chrysididae. The record is from RNAcentral.
CCCUGAGCGGUGGAUCACUUGGCUCGUGGGUUGAUGAAGAACGCAGCUAAUUGCGCGUCAACUUGUGAACUGCAGGACACAUGAACAUCGACA